Molecule: ribosomal RNA, 497 nt
Filed under: uncultured bacterium
Lineage: Bacteria
Description: partial 16S ribosomal RNA
Rfam family: Bacterial small subunit ribosomal RNA
Source: RNAcentral
GACGAACGCUGGCGGCGUGCCUAAUACAUGCAAGUUGAGCGCUGAAGGUUGGUCCUUGUACCAACUGGAUGAGCAGCGAACGGGUGAGUAACGCGUGGGGAAUCUGCCUUUGAGCGGGGGACAACAUUUGGAAACGAAUGCUAAUACCGCAUAAAAACUUUAAACACAAGUUUUAAGUUUGAAAGAUGCAAUUGCAUCACUCAAAGAUGAUCCCGCGUUGUAUUAGCUAGUCGGUGAGGUAAAGGCUCACCAAGGCGAUGAUACAUAGCCGACCUGAGAGGGUGAGCGGCCACAUUGGGACUGAGACACGGCCCAAACUCCUACGGGAGGCAGCAGUAGGGAAUCUUCGGCAAUAGACGAAAGUCUGACCGAGCAACGCCGCGUGAGUGAAGAAGGUUUUCGGAUCGUAAAACUCUGUUGGUAGAGAAGAACGUUGGUGAGAGUGGAAAGCUCAUCAAGUGACGGUAACUACCCAGAAAGGGACGGCUAACUACGUG